AACGCCGCGUGGAGGAAGAAGGUCUUCGGAUCGUAAACUCCUGUCAGGUGGGACGAAGGUACGUCGGCGAAUAGUCGGCGUGCUUGACGGUACCGCCAGAGGAAGCCCCGGCUAACUCCGUGCCAGCAACCGCGGUGACUGAGCGGGCUGGCAAGGCGCAUA
This 162-nucleotide ribosomal RNA is filed under the name uncultured bacterium. RNAcentral describes it as "partial 16S ribosomal RNA". It matches the Rfam family "Bacterial small subunit ribosomal RNA", at positions 393 to 539 of the family's 1533-position model. The record is from RNAcentral.